UACGUAGGUGGCAAGCGUUGUCCGGAUUUAUUGGGCGUAAAGCGCGCGCAGGCGGUUAUGCAAGUCUGGUGUUAAAGCCCGGAGCUCAACUCCGGUUCGCAUCGGAAACUGUGUAGCUUGAGUGCAGAAGAGGAAAGCGGUAUUCCACGUGUAGCGGUGAAAUGCGUAGAGAUGUGGAGGAACACCAGUGGCGAAGGCGGCUUUCUGGUCUGUAACUGACGCUGAGGCGCGAAAGCUAGGGGAGCAAACGGG
RNAcentral lists this ribosomal RNA (252 nucleotides) under uncultured bacterium. RNAcentral's name for it is "partial 16S ribosomal RNA". It matches the Rfam family "Bacterial small subunit ribosomal RNA", at positions 524 to 776 of the family's 1533-position model. The record is from RNAcentral.